RNAcentral lists this ribosomal RNA (468 nucleotides) under uncultured bacterium. RNAcentral describes it as "partial 16S ribosomal RNA". It matches the Rfam family "Bacterial small subunit ribosomal RNA", at positions 28 to 507 of the family's 1533-position model. The record is from RNAcentral.
GACGAACGCUGGCGGCGUGCUUAACACAUGCAAGUCGAACGGAAAGGCCCUGCUUUUGUGGGGUGCUCGAGUGGCGAACGGGUGAGUAACACGUGAGUAACCUGCCCUUUACUUUGUGAUAACUUCAGGAAACUGGUGCUAAUACCGGAUAGGAGCUCCUGCUGCAUGGUGGGGUUUGGAAAGUUUCGGCGGUUGGGGAUGGACUCGCGGCUUAUCAGCUUGUUGGUUGGGUAGUGGCUUACCAAGGCUUUGACGGGUAGCCGGCCUGAGAGGGUGACCGGCCACAUUGGGACUGAGAUACGGCCCAGACUCCUACGGGAGGCAGCAGUGGGGAAUAUUGAACAAUGGGCGGAAGCCUGAUGCAGCAACGCCGCGUGCGGGAUGAAGGCCUUCGGGUUGUAAACCGCUUUCGCCUGUGACGAAGCGUGAGUGACGGUAAUGGGUAAAGAAGCACCGGCUAACUACGUG